This 436-nucleotide long non-coding RNA is filed under the name Coffea arabica (coffee). RNAcentral describes it as "long non-coding RNA (CARA_LNC001288)". Lineage: Eukaryota; Viridiplantae; Streptophyta; Magnoliopsida; Gentianales; Rubiaceae. The record is from RNAcentral.
ACACCACCUUCAUCAAAUUCCAUUUCUUUUCUGCACAACUCCACCGAAACCACUGCACUCCAUCUUCAUCGUGAAAAGGUAGCAUUCGAGAGCAAGAGAGGGAGAGCUGCUCCUCGUGAGUAUCGACUGAAGAAAAGCCGCGAGCUGCAUUUUUCUUUUGUCUCUACUCUGUCCGUAGGCUGAGGGAAGAGACCAGGGAAACAACACUACCUUUGUCAACCUCAGACCAACAUCCACCAGCUGCAACCACCUACAUCACAACACCAUUUCUAGCUGCAAAUUGAACGCAGGACCAAACAGGGUGCGUGAGAGCCGAGAGGAAGGAAGAAAAUUCCAGAUUUCUGUGCGUAAGUUUAGAGUGUAUCUAAGGUAAAUUUCUGGGCUAAUUAAGUUAAGUAUUAUCAGAGGAAGUCUUAUCAGAGGUUGCAUGUAAUUU